GCGAAGGUGGUUCAGUGGUAGAGUGCUUGCCUUGCAUGCAUGAGGCCUUGGGUUCGAGUCCUCAGCUGCCACA
Dipodomys ordii (Ord's kangaroo rat) is the source of this 73-nucleotide non-coding RNA. The record is from Rfam. Lineage: Eukaryota; Metazoa; Chordata; Mammalia; Rodentia; Heteromyidae.